CCUACGGGAGGCAGCAGUGGGGAAUUUUGGACAAUGGGCGCAAGCCUGAUCCAGCCAUGCCGCGUGCGGGAAGAAGGCCUUCGGGUUGUAAACCGCUUUUGUCAGGGAAGAAAAGGUUCUGGUUAAUACCUGGGACUCAUGACGGUACCUGAAGAAUAAGCACCGGCUAACUACGUGCCAGCAGCCGCGGUAAUACGUAGGGUGCAAGCGUUAAUCGGAAUUACUGGGCGUAACGCGUGCGCAGGCGGUUAUGCAAGACAGAGGUGAAAUCCCCGGGCUCAACCUGGGAAUUGCCUUUGUGACUGCAUAGCUAGAGUACGGUAGAGGGGGAUGGAAUUCCGCGUGUAGCAGUGAAAUGCGUAGAUAUGCGGAGGAACACCGAUGGCGAAGGCAAUCCCCUGGACCUGUACUGACGCUCAUGCACGAAAGCGUGGGGAGCAAACAGGAUUAGAUACCCUGGUAGUCCACGCCCUAAACGAUGUCAACUGGUUGUUGGGAGGGUUUCUUCUCAGUAACGUAGCUAACGCGUGAAGUUGACCGCCUGGGGAGUACGGCCGCAGGUUGAAACUCAAAGUAGUAGUGGCGUGNGAGAGCGACGACGACGACGACGGAGGAGGAGG
RNAcentral lists this ribosomal RNA (620 nucleotides) under uncultured bacterium. RNAcentral describes it as "bacterial SSU rRNA". It matches the Rfam family "Bacterial small subunit ribosomal RNA", at positions 338 to 956 of the family's 1533-position model. The record is from RNAcentral.